This 73-nucleotide transfer RNA is filed under the name Pleuronectes platessa (European plaice). RNAcentral's name for it is "tRNA-Trp". The record is from RNAcentral. Lineage: Eukaryota; Metazoa; Chordata; Actinopteri; Pleuronectiformes; Pleuronectidae.
GGCGGUGUGGCUUAGUCGGUAGGGCGCUCGCUCUCCAACAAGAAGGACCUGGGUUUGAACCCCACUCUUUCCA